Molecule: ribosomal RNA, 88 nt
Filed under: Lonepinella koalarum
Lineage: Bacteria; Pseudomonadati; Pseudomonadota; Gammaproteobacteria; Pasteurellales; Pasteurellaceae
Description: partial 16S ribosomal RNA
Rfam family: Bacterial small subunit ribosomal RNA
Source: RNAcentral
GGGGCGUUUACCACGGUAUGAUUCAUGACUGGGGUGAAGUCGUAACAAGGUAACCGUAGGGGAACCUGCGGUUGGAUCACCUCCUUAU